AUGACUGACGACACAUGCGGUUUCAUGAGUUGGAACAUGAGAGGGCUCAACUCGUCGACGAGGAGAGCCACGGUUAGUGAGCUAGUUAGUGCCCUGCGCCCGGCGAUCCUCUGCGUGCAGGAGACAAAGAUCGACACUUGGUCCCCCAGCUUGGUGCGUGACAUUGGUGGGCACGCUCUAGACGGCUGCGCUGUCCUACCGGUGAUCGGCACCCGCGGUGGUGCGGCCAUCUUCUAG
Molecule: ribosomal RNA, 237 nt
Filed under: Triticum aestivum (bread wheat)
Lineage: Eukaryota; Viridiplantae; Streptophyta; Magnoliopsida; Poales; Poaceae
Description: partial small subunit ribosomal RNA
Source: RNAcentral